CGUUUGCUAUUGGCUGUCUCCGGGGACACGUCAUCAAGGAUUGAAACAGCGCGUAAAUCCGAAUGUGUGUGUAUGCCGGGCAAAGAGGCUGAGGCGGGAGAGGCAGAGGCAGAGGCAGCAGCUGCUACGGGAAAGCAGAGCUCUAUGGUGAGCAGCAUUGAAUUUGUACUGACCCAGCCACACACUUUACCAGUUGUCUAUACCAGCUUACUCCUGCCAGGGUGUGUUUAUGGCCAUAGGACAACAUGCAAGCAAUGGACUCACCCGAGGUUUUUAUUUUGGCAGAAUGGUAUGGGUGGUGAAAAUAAAGGAAAGAGAAAUUCAGGAAAAGAAGAGAGCAGCACGUAUUUAUGAACUCCAGACCAGAGGGUAACGAACAUCAGCCCUAACUGACAAGGGCAGGUGCUGAGGCUAUGUGAAUGGGACAGAGAGGAGCAGGCCAGGAGGGACGGCGAGCACCCGGGGCCUGCAGCCAAGCUCCCCAGCAGACCGAAUGAGCCUGGUGCCAACACCAUGGGCCUCUCCCCAUCCCAGAGAAAGACUCUGAAGACAGAAAAGGAGAGUGCCUUGCUCUGCCAGGGAGGCCCAAGAUAAAACCAGGUAUUCCAGGCCAGAGAAUGCCAGGAAAGGUAAAGAAGAUGCCUGCAAAUCCCUGCAGCCUAGAAGAGGAAUUUUAGCAGAACUGACAAAUACUUUCCUCACCAGGAUGAGGUUCCCCACCUUGGAUUUGCCUCCAGAAGCACAAGAGUGCCUCUGCCAGGAAGGAGCUGGACCUGUUGGCACAGACUGCCUCAGCCUCACCAUCCCAGGUACUGGCUUUUUUGUUUAAAAAACACCGAGUGCCCAUAGUGGCUUAUAGGGAUAAAUAGAAAAUGACUACUGCCAACCUAUACCUGCUGUUCAUGAAGGUGUUAGUAAAAAAAACAAAAACAAAAAUCAACAAAAAAAGUGCAUGCUUUUUCUGAAUGGUUGUCAUUGAUCUUUGUUCUAAGGUUUCUUUUUGACUUAUAAGAACAGAAUUAAGGAAGUACAAAGGAGAUAGCACGAUUGAGUAUACUCUAACAUAAGUACCACCAGCAAAUUGAUAGUCAUGUUCAGAAAUGAUCUCUGACUUAA
Microcebus murinus (gray mouse lemur) is the source of this 1116-nucleotide non-coding RNA. Lineage: Eukaryota; Metazoa; Chordata; Mammalia; Primates; Cheirogaleidae. The record is from RefSeq and is a predicted model, not a curated record.